RNAcentral lists this ribosomal RNA (253 nucleotides) under uncultured bacterium. RNAcentral describes it as "partial 16S ribosomal RNA". It matches the Rfam family "Bacterial small subunit ribosomal RNA", at positions 524 to 776 of the family's 1533-position model. The record is from RNAcentral.
UACGGAGGGUGCAAGCGUUGCUCGGAAUUAUUGGGCGUAAAGGGCAAGUAGGUGGUCUCAUUUGUCUGGGGUGAAAUCCUUGGGCUUAACUCAAGAAGUGCCCCAGAAACGGUGAGACUAGAGUCCUAGAGAGGGUCGUGGAAUACCCGGUGUAGCGGUGAAAUGCGUAGAGAUCGGGUGGGACACCAGAGGCGAAGGCGGCGACCUGGAUAGGUACUGACACUCAACUGCGAAAGCGUGGGGAGCAAACAGG